UCAUCUUAGGCCUUACAGCCCAGGGUGGGCC
RNAcentral lists this small RNA (31 nucleotides) under Bombyx mori (domestic silkworm). RNAcentral's name for it is "ovarian small RNA-26182". Lineage: Eukaryota; Metazoa; Arthropoda; Insecta; Lepidoptera; Bombycidae. The record is from RNAcentral.